UUGUAGCAUGCACAUGUACGCUUCCCGUGAAAACUGAUUUAGUUUUUUUGUGUGCUUAUAUAUUUUUAAUAUGUUUUGAUCUAUUCUUGGCGCAUUAUUGUAUAAGUGCAAUCAAUGAUUUUACCAAAACAGAAUGGUUUUAUAUAAUUUCCAUUGGACAACCAAAAAUACCCUAAAGUUUUGAGGUAUUUUUUUAUUUCUUUUUAUUGAUUUUUCCUGGAUUGUGCACUGCCUUUUUUAAACAAUUUGAUUGCAUUCUCUUAAAUGAAUCCUCACUUUUUUGUUUUCUUUUCCAGGAAGGAUAAAUAAUAAGCUGACAAUGAAAUGAACGGUUAGUGAAGUGGAAAAAGUGAGUGAACAAAAUACUGAAGCUUCAACUUCAAAAUCAUCCCAUCCACUGCUGAAGAAGAGACGGGGCCCGACACGAUGGAAGAAUGUCGUAAACGCGACAACCUUAUUACCAUUAAGGGUUAAUAAGUUUGGACAGCCGAUCAGCCCUGGAAGUGGUACAUAUACUAAUUAUUUGGGAACACUUGCCCGGAAUGCUAAAUUGGCUCCUUUGUGCUACAAAACUUGGUGGGAGAUGCCUAAACGGUUGAAGGAGGAUAUGUGGAACGUUGUAAAGGGAAAGUAUGAUGUGGGAAUCCUGUCAAAACAUUGGACAAUAUCCUCCAUCGGAAAAAAAUGGAGGGGCUACAAGUGUGAAUUAAAAAGUGAAUAUUACUCGGUUAGGGAUACAAAUGCAGAAAGAUUGGCAAACCCACCACCUGAUGUUGAAAAGGAGCAUUGGGAAUUUUUGGUUAGGCAUUGGGGUACACCUAUUGCGAAGGUAAUCCUCCAUCUACCAAUUUUGUUUAAAGUCAAUGAGUUGAAUUUAUA
Molecule: long non-coding RNA, 879 nt
Organism: Cornus florida
Lineage: Eukaryota; Viridiplantae; Streptophyta; Magnoliopsida; Cornales; Cornaceae
Exons: 3
Source: RefSeq, a predicted model, not a curated record